CGGAGGGCUAGUUGCCCUUCGCGCGAUUAAUUGGCGAUCCGGAGCGCAAAGGACUGACUCGGGCCUGCGUGCAUUACACACAAGUGAAACCUACUUCCACCUGUGCAGGAUUUUGGCAAGAGGGCUGAUGAUUAUACAAAGAGUGGUGUUGGGUUCACGCCCUGGUGUCAAUGGAGAGCCAGUUGCAGGAAACUUUCGUACGGAGGAAGCUACCCUACCGGAUAAAAUUGCUGAGGGUCAAGUCAAAGUUCGUACACUUUAUCUGUCUGUUGACCCUUACAUGCGAUGUCGUAUGAAUGAAGACUCUGGUUCUGAGUACCUCCAGUCCUGGAAGUUGUCUGAAGUCACUGAUGGUGGGGGAAUUGGUUCUGUGGAGGAAAGCAAAGAUGCCCGUUUUGCUGCAGGAGACGUUGUAACUUCCUUCAACUGGCCCUGGCAGACAAAGGCCAUUCUAGAUGGGAAGCAGCUUGAGAAGAUUGAUCCACAGCUUGUAGACGGUCAUCUUUCCCAUUUUCUGGGUGCAGCUGGCUUGACUGGGCUGACAUCUUUGCUAGGAAUAAGAGAGAAAGGACAUGUGUCUCCAGGUGCCAAUCAAACUAUGGUGGUCAGUGGGGCUGCUGGUGCUUGUGGUUCAUUGGCUGGGCAGAUAGGUUCCCUGGAGGGCUGUUCCAGAGUGGUUGGUAUCUGUGGCACCGACGAAAAAUGCUCUAUUCUGGUGUCAGAAAUGGGGUUUGAUGCAGCUAUCAACUAUAAGAAAGAGGAUGUGGCACAACGGCUGCACGAGCUCUGCCCGGCGGGAGUGGAUGUGUACUUUGACAAUGUUGGUGGAGACAUCAGUGAUACAGUGAUCAGUCAAAUGAAUCCAAAUAGCCAUAUUAUUUUAUGCGGCCAGAUCUCCCAGUACAACAAGGAUGUGCCUUACCCCCCUCCUCUGCCUCCUGCAAUAGAAGAAAUAAGGAAAGUGCGAAAUAUCACAAGGGAAAGAUUUCUAGUUCUGAACUACGCGGAGAAAUUUGCAGCUAGUACUAUGCAGCUCUGCCAAUGGAUCAAAGAGGGAAAACUGAAGGUAUGACACAAAUCUGAAGGCUAAAGAGACUGUAGUAAAAGGCUUAGAAAACAUUGGAGCUGCUUUCCAGUCUAUGAUGAGCGGGGGCAACAUCGGGAAACAAAUAGUGCUUGUUUCUGAGUAAAUGAGUCAUCGUACUGUUUCCUGAGUGUCAACUAUGAAGAAAAAGCACCUUAUAUUUGCAAAAGUUUGGCACUAUAUUCUCCUUGGAUAGGUUCUCCCGUUGCAUGACCAGAAACAGAUUCCUAGUUUCGUAUUCUCAUUUAAUAGCUGGCUUCUUAUCUCACUGUUGUGACACUAACAGAAGGCAAGUCCAAGUUUUGAUUCCAGGUCCCCUUAUCUGAAGUUCCUUGUGUAUUUUUGUACACGUUGCCUUAAGACAGGAAUUUUGUAAAAGUAAGAGUAUUAUCUAUGCUGCCCUUCAAUCUCAAGUUUCUGAACACUACUAUUUAGCAAUAAUUGUGCCACACUGUUAUAGUAUGCCUUGGUUGCUACUAGAUGUGAGGAAAAAGAUAAAUGCUUCUGAUACUACAGCUGGUAAUGCUGUUUAAAAAAAAAAGAAAAGUUCUAACUUGGCUUCUUGAUUAAUGCGAUCAAGUGUCCUUCUAGGUACGAUAACAGACAACCUGAUUCUUUCAGUUCUUCAUAAUCCUGCCCA
Molecule: RNA transcript, 1724 nt
Organism: Lacerta agilis (Sand lizard)
Lineage: Eukaryota; Metazoa; Chordata; Lepidosauria; Squamata; Lacertidae
Gene: PTGR2
Gene name: prostaglandin reductase 2
Exons: 10
Source: RefSeq, a predicted model, not a curated record